UGUUUAUUGAAUAUAAAGAAAAGACGAACAGCUCAGUAACUCUUAUUUUAUUUGAUGUAUUAGGAUUAUAACUAUGUUAAAUUAUAGAUAACAAUAAUACAAUAAGAAUAAGAUCUAUCAGUUAGUUGUUAAGGUAAUGGCUUAACAAGACUAUGACGGAUAACGGUAUUACUUUGUAAUAUUCCGGAGAAGGAGCCUGAGAGAUUGCUACUAAGUCUAAGGAUUGCAGCAGGGGCGAAACUUGACCUAUGAUAUGAUAUUGAGGCAGUUAUGAGUAGUAUUUUUAAUUAUUGUAGUAUUGUAAGUAUAUACUACAAGAUAAAUCGGAGGGCAAAUCGAGUGCCAGCAGCCGCGGUAAUACUUGUUCCGAUAGUGUGUAUGAUGAUUGAUGCAGUUAAAAAGUCUGUAGUUUAUUAUUAAUAAGCAUUGUGAGGUAUAUUGUAUGGUUAGGAGAGAGAUGAAAUGUGAUAACCCUAACUGGAUGAACAGAAGCGAAAGCUAUAUACUUAAAUGUUUUAUUAGAACAAGGACGUAAGCUAGAGGAUCGAAGAUGAUUAGAUACCAUUGUAGUUCUAGCAGUAAACUAUGUUAAAUCAUAGAUACAUUAUUAAUAUGUAUUUAUGUAAAGAAAUUAAGAUUAUAUUGACUCUGGGGAUAGUAUGAUCGCAAGAUUGAAAAUUAAAGAAAUUGACGGAAGAAUACCACAAGGAGUGGAUUGUGCGGCUU
Molecule: ribosomal RNA, 726 nt
Filed under: Nosema granulosis
Lineage: Eukaryota; Fungi; Microsporidia; Nosematidae
Description: partial small subunit ribosomal RNA
Rfam family: Microsporidia small subunit ribosomal RNA
Source: RNAcentral